This 504-nucleotide ribosomal RNA is filed under the name uncultured bacterium. RNAcentral's name for it is "partial 16S ribosomal RNA". It matches the Rfam family "Bacterial small subunit ribosomal RNA", at positions 29 to 523 of the family's 1533-position model. The record is from RNAcentral.
AUUGAACGCUGGCGGCACGCCUAACACAUGCAAGUCGAGCGGUAACAUGAUCUGUAGCAAUACAGAUUGAUGACGAGCGGCGGACGGGUGAGGAACACGUAGGAACCUGUCUUUCAGAGGGGGACAACCAAGGGAAACUUUGGCUAAUACCGCAUAAUCCCGCACGAGCAAAGCGGCACGCACGGGUGGCAUGGAAAGAGGGGCCGGCGUCCGAUGAGCUGAUUGGUAGGGUACGAGCCAACCAAGGCGAUGAUCGGUAACUGGGCUGAGAGGACGACCAGUCACACUGGGACUGAGACACGGCCCAGACUCCUACGGGAGGCAGCAGUGGGGAAUAUUGGACAAUGGGGGCAACCCUGAUCCAGCGAUGCCGCGUGGGUGAAGAAGGCCUUCGGGUUGUAAAGCCCUUUAGACCGGGAAGAAGUGUGGUGGCUGAAUAAUCCAUCAUGUUGACGGUACUGGUAGAAUAAGCACCGGCAAACUCUGUGCCAGCCGCCGCCGUAA